AUUGAACGCUGGCGGCAGGCCUAACACAUGCAAGUCGAGCGGAUGAAGGGAGCUUGCUCCUGGAUUCAGCGGCGGACGGGUGAGUAAUGCCUAGGAAUCUGCCUGGUAUUUGGGGAUAACGUCCGGAAACGGGCGCUAAUACCGCAUACGUCCUGAGGGAGAAAGUGGGGGAUCUUCGGACCUCACGCGAUCAGAUGAGCCUAGGUCGGAUUAGCUAGUUGGUGGGGUAAAGGCCUACCAAGGCGACGAUCCGUAACUGGUCUGAGAGGAUGAUCAGUCACACUGGAACUGAGACACGGUCCAGACUCCUACGGGAGGCAGCAGUGGGGAAUAUUGGACAAAGGGCGAAAGCCUGAUCCAGCCAUGCCGCGUGUGUGAAGAAGGUCUUCGGAUUGUAAAGCACUUUAAGUUGGGAGGAAGGGCAGUAAGUUAAUAUCUUGCUGUUUUGACGUUACCAACAGAAUAAGCACCGGCUAACUUCGUG
RNAcentral lists this ribosomal RNA (484 nucleotides) under uncultured bacterium. Its description in RNAcentral is "partial 16S ribosomal RNA". It matches the Rfam family "Bacterial small subunit ribosomal RNA", at positions 30 to 507 of the family's 1533-position model. The record is from RNAcentral.